AGAGCACUCUAAAGAGACUGCCGGUGACAAACCGGAGGGAGGUGGGGAUGACGUCAAGUCCUCAUGGCCCUUAUGGGUAGGGCUUCACACGUCAUACAAUGGUGCAUACAGAGGGUUGCCAACACGCGAGGGGGAGCUAAUCUCAGAAAAUGCAUCGUAGUCCGGAUCGUAGUCUGCAACUCGACUACGUGAAGCUGGAAUCGCUAGUAAUCGCGGAUCAGAAUGUCGCGGUGAUACGUUCCCGGGUCUUGUACACACCGCCCGUCAUACCAU
Molecule: ribosomal RNA, 273 nt
Filed under: uncultured beta proteobacterium
Lineage: Bacteria; Pseudomonadati; Pseudomonadota; Betaproteobacteria
Description: partial 16S ribosomal RNA
Rfam family: Bacterial small subunit ribosomal RNA
Source: RNAcentral